AUACAACUCUCAGCAACGGAUAUCUUGGCUCUUGCAACGAUGAAGAACGCAGCGAAAUGCGAUACGUAGUGUGAAUUGCAGAAUUCCGCGAAUCAUCGAGUCUUUGAACGCAAGUUGCGCCCGAGGCUUGACCAAGGGCAUCUCUGCCAGAGCGUCACC
This 159-nucleotide ribosomal RNA is filed under the name Streblotrichum convolutum. Its description in RNAcentral is "5.8S ribosomal RNA". It matches the Rfam family "5.8S ribosomal RNA". Rfam says of the family: 5.8S ribosomal RNA (5.8S rRNA) is a component of the large subunit of the eukaryotic ribosome. It is transcribed by RNA polymerase I as part of the 45S precursor that also contains 18S and 28S rRNA. Functionally, it is thought that 5.8S rRNA may be involved in ribosome translocation. The record is from RNAcentral. Lineage: Eukaryota; Viridiplantae; Streptophyta; Bryopsida; Pottiales; Pottiaceae.